UCAGCACGUUCUGCCGGACGUGCGGGGAGUCAUAAAGGCGUGUGUUAGUGGAAGGCCUCUGGAAGGGGUCGCCGUAGAGGGUGAGAGCCCCGUACACGAAAACGCAUGUCCUCCCGAGCUUGUUUCCCAAGUAGCACCGAGCCCGUGAAAUUCGGUGUGAAUCUGGCGGGACCACCCGCUAAGCCUGAAUACUCCCUGGUGACCGAUAGCGGACAAGUACCGUGAGGGAAAGGUGAAAAGUACCCCGGGAGGGGAGUGAAAUAGUACCUGAAACCGUGUGCCUACAAGCCGUGAGAGCCUUAGGACUUCGGUCCGGGGUGAUUGCGUGCCUUUUGAAGAAUGAGCCUGCGAGUUAGCGGUACGUGGCGAGGUUAACCCGUGAGGGGCAGCCGUAGCGAAAGCGAGUCCGAACAGGGCGAUACAGUCGCGUGCUCUAGACCCGAAGCCGAGUGAUCUACCCAUGGCCAGGUUGAAGCGCGGGUAAGACCGCGUGGAGGACCGAACCCACUUAGGUUGAAAACUGAGGGGAUGAGCUGUGGGUAGGGGUGAAAGGCCAAUCAAACUCGGUGAUAGCUGGUUCUCCCCGAAAUGCAUUUAGGUGCAGCGUCACGUGUUUCUUGCCGGAGGUAGAGCACUGGAUGGCCGAUGGGCCCCACAAGGUUACUGACGUCAACCAAACUCCGAAUGCCGGUAAGUGAGAGCGUGGCAGUGAGACUGCGGGCGAUAAGGUUCGUAGUCGAGAGGGAAACAGCCCAGAUCAUCGGCUAAGGCCCCUAAGCGUGUGCUAAGUGGAAAAGGAUGUGGAGUCGCAGAGACAACCAGGAGGUUGGCUUAGAAGCAGCCACCCUUGAAAGAGUGCGUAAUAGCUCACUGGUCAAGUGGUUCUGCGCCGACAAUGUAGCGGGGCUCAAGCACACCGCCGAAGCCGUGGCAUUCACACGUUAGCCCGCCGGUCCUUGUGUGGGCCGGCCAGGUGUGUGGAUGGGUAGGGGAGCGUCGUGUGGCGGUCGAAGCGGCGGAGUGAUCCAGCCGUGGACGCCACGCGAGUGAGAAUGCAGGCAUGAGUAGCGAGAGGGGAGUGAGAACCUCCCCCGCCGGAAGACCAAGGGUUCCUGGGCCAGGCUAAUCCGCCCAGGGUGAGUCGGGACCUAAGGCGAGGCCGACAGGCGUAGUCGAUGGACAACGGGUUGAUAUUCCCGUACCCGCGAAGGAGCGCCCAUGCUGAACCCAGCGAUGCUAACCACCCGAACCACUGAUCCUCACUUGUGAGGAGAUGUGGGGAGGCUGGGACCCGGACUGGUAGUAGGCAAGCGAUGGGGUGACGCAGGAAGGUAGUCCUACCGGUGAGUGGUAGUACCGGUGCAAGGGUGUGGCCCGCGACGUAGGCAAAUCCGCGUCGCACGAGGGUGAGGCCUGACGCAUAGCCGAAUGAGGCGAAUUGGAUGAUCCUAUGCUGCCGAGAAAAGCCUCUAGCGAGUUCCGAGCGGCCCGUACCCCAAACCAACUCAGGUGGUCAGGUAGAGAAUACCGAGGCGAUCGAGCGAACUGUGGUUAAGGAACUCGGCAAAAUACCCCCGUAACUUCGGGAGAAGGGGGGCCCUUUACCGUGAACCGCCUUGCGCGGGGCAGCGGUGGGGGGUCGCAGAGACCAGUGAGAAGCGACUGUUUACUAAAAACACAGGUCCGUGCGAAGUCGUAAGACGAUGUAUACGGACUGACGCCUGCCCGGUGCUGGAACGUUAAGGGGACGGGUUAGCCGCAAGGCGAAGCUCAGAACUCAAGCGCCAGUAAACGGCGGUGGUAACUAUAACCAUCCUAAGGUAGCGAAAUUCCUUGUCGGGUAAGUUCCGACCUGCACGAAUGGCGUAACGACUUCUCAGCUGUCUCAACCACAGGCUCGGCGAAAUUGCACUACGAGUAAAGAUGCUCGUUACGCGCGGCAGGACGGAAAGACCCCGGGACCUUUACUAUAGCUUGAUAUUGGUGUUCGGUUCGGCUUGUGUAGGAUAGGUGGGAGACUGUGAAGCGGGCACGCCAGUGUUCGUGGAGUCGCCGUUGAAAUACCACUCUGGUCGAAUUGGAUGUCUAACCUCGGUCCGUGAUCCGGAUCAGGGACAGUGUCAGGUGGGUAGUUUAACUGGGGCGGUUGCCUCCCAAAAUGUAACGGAGGCGCCCAAAGGUUCCCUCAGCCUGGUUGGCAAUCAGGUGUCGAGUGCAAGUGCACAAGGGAGCUUGACUGUGAGACCGACGGGUCGAGCAGGAGCGAAAGCUGGGACUAGUGACCCGGCACCGGCAUGUGGAAGCGGUGUCGCUCAACGGAUAAAAGGUACCCCGGGGAUAACAGGCUGAUCUUCCCCAAGAGUCCAUAUCGACGGGAUGGUUUGGCACCUCGAUGUCGGCUCGUCGCAUCCUGGGGCUGGAGUAGGUCCCAAGGGUUGGGCUGUUCGCCCAUUAAAGCGGUACGCGAGCUGGGUUUAGAACGUCGUGAGACAGUUCGGUCCCUAUCCGCCGUGCGCGUAAGAGACUUGAGAAGAGCUGUCCCUAGUACGAGAGGACCGGGACGGACGAACCUCUGGUGUGCCAGUUGUACCGCCAGGUGCACUGCUGGUUAGCUACGUUCGGCAGGGAUAACCGCUGAAAGCAUCUAAGCGGGAAGCUCGCUUCAAGAUGAGGU
RNAcentral lists this ribosomal RNA (2674 nucleotides) under Blastococcus sp. TF02A-30. Its description in RNAcentral is "Bacterial large subunit ribosomal RNA". It matches the Rfam family "Bacterial large subunit ribosomal RNA", at positions 288 to 2810 of the family's 2925-position model. Lineage: Bacteria; Bacillati; Actinomycetota; Actinomycetes; Geodermatophilales; Geodermatophilaceae. The record is from Rfam by way of RNAcentral.